CAUAAGAUCUAUGGAUGAAAGCAGGGGACCGCAAGGCCUUGCGCGAACGGAGCGGCCGAUGGCAGAUUAGGUAGUUGGUGGGGUAAAGGCUUACCAAGCCUACGAUCUGUAGCUGGUCUGAGAGGACGACCAGCCACACUGGGACUGAGACACGGCCCANACUCCUACGGGAGGCAGCAGUGGGGAAUUUUGGACAAUGGGCGCAAGCCUGAUCCAGCCAUGCCGCGUGCAGGAUGAAGGCCUUCGGGUUGUAAACUGCUUUUGUACGGAACGAAAAGCCUCUUUCUAAUAAAGGGAGGUCAUGACGGUACCGUAAGAAUAAGCACCGGCUAACUACGUGCCAGCAGCCGCGGUAAUACGUAGGGUGCAAGCGUUAAUCGGAAUUACUGGGCGUAAAGCGUGCGCAGGCGGUAAUGUAAGACAGAUGUGAAAUCCCCGGGCUCAACCUGGGAACUGCAUUUGUGACUGCAUUGCUGGAGUGCGGCAGAGGGGGAUGGAAUUCCGCGUGUAGCAGUGAAAUGCGUAGAUAUGCGGAGGAACACCGAUGGCGAAGGCAAUCCCCUGGGCCUGCACUGACGCUCAUGCACGAAAGCGUGGGGAGCAAACAGGAUUAGAUACCCUGGUAGUCCACGCCCUAAACGAUGUCAACUGGUUGU
Molecule: ribosomal RNA, 656 nt
Filed under: Acidovorax sp. 52AD22
Lineage: Bacteria; Pseudomonadati; Pseudomonadota; Betaproteobacteria; Burkholderiales; Comamonadaceae
Description: bacterial SSU rRNA
Rfam family: Bacterial small subunit ribosomal RNA
Source: RNAcentral